Molecule: ribosomal RNA, 404 nt
Filed under: Actinomycetes bacterium
Lineage: Bacteria; Bacillati; Actinomycetota; Actinomycetes
Description: Actinobacteria bacterium partial 16S ribosomal RNA
Rfam family: Bacterial small subunit ribosomal RNA
Source: RNAcentral
UGGGGAAUAUUGGACAAUGGGCGCAAGCCUGAUCCAGCCAUGCCUCGUGAGUGAUGAAGGCCCUAGGGUUGUAAAGCUCUUUCACCGGUGAAGUUAAUGACGGUAACCGGAGUAGAAGCCCCGGCUAACUCCGUGCCUGCAGCCGCGGUAAUACGAAGGGGGCUAGCGUUGUUCGGCUUUACUGGGCGUAAAGCGCACGUAGGCGGAAUAUUAAGUCAGGGGUAAAAUCCCGGGGCUCAACCCCGGAACUGCCUUUGAUACUGGUAGUCUUGAGUUCGAGAGAGGUGAGUGGAAUUCCGAGUGUAGGGGUGAAUUUCGUAGAUAUUCGGAGGAACACCAGAGGCGAAGGCGGCUCACUGGCUCGAUACUGACGCUGAGGUGCGAAAGCGUGGGGAGCAACCAGG